Molecule: RNA transcript, 4371 nt
Organism: Capsicum annuum
Lineage: Eukaryota; Viridiplantae; Streptophyta; Magnoliopsida; Solanales; Solanaceae
Exons: 4
Source: RefSeq, a predicted model, not a curated record
GACUAACACAGCUUUAAAACCUUGCACAAAAGCAACAUAUAUUGAACCAUAUGGAUAAAUAGGGGCAAAUUGGUCAUUUUGAAAAUUCAUAACUUGUAUCCUCUUUCAGUAGCUAACACGUGUUCUAUUAGCUACUGAAAAACCCAUGAGUGUAUCUCACUCGAUCACAAACAUCAAGAUUUCAUCCCUCUUAAUCCCAAUUUCAACAUCAUCACCCAUUAACCCUUCACUCAAACCCUAAAACACUCUACAUUUAUCGUUGCCACACUGCCCUUCGACGAACCUUCUCCUCCAUAAGACCUCUGCAAUGAUCUUGCUAAGUUAAUUCCUCGGUGAAAAGAUGGAAAACGGCGUUGUAGAAAGUGAGUUUUGAACUUGAAGCAACAUUUUUUUGUUUUGGGUUUUGUAGGAGAGAGUUGAUCAUGACCUUUUCUAUUUGGAGUUGAAAAGCAAAGAGGAGAUCGUUUUCGGCGGCUUUAGCAGUAAUUUCACGGCGCUAUUCGUCCAGUAGGGCGGGUAGAUCGUCCUUAACUUUCAUUUUCUCUUUGGAGGUUUUAGGAACUGUUAAAAUGGAUAUGAGUUAUUCACCUUCUGCAGGUUUACUCUAUAUUGGAGACUCUCAAGAAUAUGGGAAAGAGUAUUAAAUAAGUCUUGGAGUGAUUUUGGUUAGCUUUUACAGUUUGAAAAAAUGAUAAAAUACUCAUACAUUCUCUGGAGUUUUUGUCGAUAUUUAUUUUUGAACUAUGAUUUUCUGUUGGAUAUUCUAAAUGCAUGUUUUGUUGGUCCAUGAUUUUCACACCGACGCACAUGUGAUGUUUGACAAUAUGUCUGAAAUAAUUGAUUCUUUAGCAAUCCCUUAGUCCAAGAAAAAAUUAACUCCAACAAUGUUCAUCUCUUGAGAUUUUGUUAAGUAAUCUUAUUUUUGGAUAUUUUUCCAUUUUCAUUAGAAUUUUUUGUCUAUACUUUAUCAAUUUUUGAUUUAUCAGAGAUUUGUCUGCUUCUGUUUCAUUGUGUGUAAUUUUUCUGUAAUGUUUUCUUUCUGUUGCAGAGAUCUCAAUUCAUCACUUCUGGCAGGAACUCUCGAGAAUUUAGUUCUCUAGAAUGAUAUUAAGUUUUGUCCUUUGUAUAAGUCCAUUGUCAAUUUAUAGGUCAUCUAUAUAUGCAUUGUGCCUUUAUGCAAAGUGGUGGCCGAGAAUGAUUCUCUUGGUUUCAAGUUUUUUUUGUGGUACUAUUAUUUAUUUUCCAUGAAAUUGGGUCUGAAAUAUGGUUUCGUCUUAAUUCAUUUAAGGAAUGUCUGUUUUAUGACCGGAUCAGCGUUAAACUCAAAAACUAUUUCCUUUCUUUUAUACAGUUACCAAAUGUUAGUAUUUGAUUAAUUCUGCCGCAUUGUCAUGGUUGAAGGGACAUUCUGAGAAUACAAGUAUGUGAAAGUGCAAUUUCCAUUUUAUCAUGGCAGGCUGCAACUCGCCUGCAUGCAGCCGAAAAGUUGAUGCUUUUAUUUAGCUGUCUGUACCAAUAACCGACCUGUGAACACCCCUACCCACAAGAACCAUAUCCUACUAUUUCUAGCAUAUUGGUAGUUACUGAAGUUCAAAUAUCACCUCCUUCUGGUUGUAACUAUUGUCUGACGAUGGAACUACUUUGUGUAUUAUCUCAUACACCUUGUUGGUUAUUUCUUCAUGUAUAGUGAUUACUUCUCCAACGGAGUUCUGGGAGAAUGUAUACAAGCUAUCUUAUAGUUCCUUUCUUUGUUCAAUGAUGUUAAAUAUGGUACUGGACUGACUGCUUUGCUUUGAGUUUAGAAAAUGGAACUUAAAAUCUAAAUCCUCGAGGGAGGUCGCUCAUGUAGUAGAGCCUGCUGCCUCUAAUCAUUUAGGUGGGAGUUCAAAUCAGCAAACAAGGAAUGAGAAAGACCACUUUUGCCUUGAGGUGGAGUGUGGGUGAAUUGUCGAAGUCCGUAGGGGGCGUUUGGCCAUGCGAAUUGUUAGUACUUGAGAAAAGCAGUUUCUGUUUCCAAAGGAAAAAAGUGAUAUUUGAAAAUUGGAGUAGUAUUUGGCCAUGAAUACCAGUUAAAGCUGUUUUUGAAUUUUUGCAAGUAACUUGGAGUGAAAAAAGUGAAAAAAAAAUUAUGGUGUUUCUGAAAUUCCUGAAAAAGUCAACAAUUGAAUUCGGAGUUUUCGAGAAUUUUAUGGCCAAAUGCCCCCUGAAUCCCCAAAAGAGAUCAUUUCAAAGGAGAUAUGUUACUCCCUUUGUUCAUUUUUAUGUAGCAUUAUAACCAUUUGCGGUGUCAAUGAUAUUUUCCUCUUCAUGAUGUCAUCUUUAUUUUUCUUCUCAUGUUCCAGAAGAGCAAUGACGAAGAUCAUAUUUUUCGGGCCUUUCUACAUGCCGCCCUUUUUUCUGUUGUUGCUUUUACUUCUUUCGGAGUUGUCUGUUUCAAGCCUCAUUUGUUUGUCAUGUUAGAUAUGUGAGUAUUUUUGUUCUGCACAUAAUUGAAGUUUUAUUUAUUUGUUGCAGUGUUUGGGUUGCAAGACGACCUCCAGGUUAUGCAUUCAUUGAGUUCGAUGAUCGUAGGGAUGCUCUAGAUGUUGUUGGCGAUCUAGAUUAUAUAAAUUGAAUAGUGUGCAUCAUAUAUCAUUAGCUGGAUGGUUUGUUGAUUAUAGCUAACCUUUUUUAAGUGAUAGUGAUGUACAAGUUCGGGUUGUCAGCAUAAGCUUCCAUUUUACUUUAGUCAAUUACUUGAAAAAUGCUGGAAAGUUGUCCAAAGCGCAUGAAGUAAUAAGACAUAUGGUGGAUAAAGGACAGUAUAUCAAUCUUUUUCCAAAGUUCAAAAGAUAUAGAAGAUGCUAAAGAGGCUAAACCACUUUUUAUGUAUAAAUGCUGUCAACAUCAUGCAUUAGUUCUGUGCUUAUUCCUCCAUGUUCUGAAGUUGAAUAAGCUUACCAUAAAACCAGGUAGUAUUGCUGCUGUUGGUGCUUGCAAUUUGACUGGUGUCAUAAGUUCGCAGGUCCACCUCUCGACCACAUGCCCCAAAAAAGCAGCGACCUAGGGAAAAGGUCUUAGAAAAUCUACAUCAAAACGAAAUAAUGAAACUAUAAAGCUACGUGACCUCAGCGACGAUGAAGUGAAAAGCCAUUUGCCGUUUCUCUUUUCAUACAGGUAUCAUAGAAUUCUUUAUCAAUUCUGUCGAUUCACAGUUUCUGAUAUACAUGGUGCUUGAUAUUUUGACAUACAGAUGGAAUGCUACUUAAAUUGCAGAUGUACAUUCAUCAUGUAUAAUGACUCUCAAGCUGACACAUGGGUUUUAUCAUGAGAAUGGAUUGCUUUAUUUUUAGUAGUAAGAACUUGAGAAAGUAAGGCCCAUUUUAUAGAUUAUCUGAGGAUUACGUGGCAGGUUUGAGUUGCUAACUAUGGUGAAGAAGAAAUCUGACAUGUUAGUGAAAGCCAAUAAUAAGGAGGUUGAAAUUGCUUCAGAUGUUGAAAUGGAUCCCGGCUUCUGGCGUGACACCAUGGACUUGUAUUUUAUUCAGGACAAGGAGUCCAGGGGGCUUCAGCAAGAUAAUCUUAUAUUCUUUGUUAACAAAAUAGUACAGCUAUUUCCAUCUUUCACUUUGUUGUCUGGCUAUUAAUUUGUAAGUUGUUGGAAUACUUUGUGGUGCAGGGUAUGCAGGGACAUGGAUCAAAUGCAGGUAAAGAAGUUAACACUUGCAACAAGAAGAAUGAUGAAAAACAUAGCAACACCUACAAGUUUAGAUAGUUGUUGGAAGAGCACCAUUCUCAUGUAGAGACAUAUUAUACGAAAUUGUAUGUACAGAUGCGUGGGGAUGUAUCAAAAGUUGAAUGGUGAAGGUUUCUUUGCAACAACCUUAGCUGCCCAAAAUAGAUUUUCAAGCUAUACAUUGCUUUGCUAGAAUGAAUGCUUACAAAGAAUCGUCUAAUGUAGUGGGGAACUGUUGACUCAGCUAAAUGUGUACUGUGCAAUUACACGAUGGAGAGUCAUAAUCACUUAUUUUUUGUGUGCACAUACUCCUCAAGGAUAUGAAACAAGAUGCUGCAAUGGUUGGGGAUUACACGAUUUGCCAAAGAUUGGAUAAAAGAAAUGGAAUGGGCAAUCAUCAACAGAAGUGGAAAAAUGUGAAAGCUGAUUUCUACAUAUUGUGUCUAGCAUAUACCAUCUAUCAUAUUUGGUUAGAACGAAACACUAGUGUGUUUUAGAAAGAACAGAGGGAGAAAAGACACACAGUUAGGUAGAUCAUCCAGAAAGUAUAUGUACGGGGCUCUAUGAAGCAAAAACUGGUUGAGCAGAUCGAUUUGAUGAACUACUAUUAUAAUAACUCAAACUUCUAAACCAAGAUAUGAAUCUUUCUUUAAAUA